Molecule: transfer RNA, 96 nt
Organism: Sordaria macrospora k-hell
Lineage: Eukaryota; Fungi; Ascomycota; Sordariomycetes; Sordariales; Sordariaceae
Rfam family: tRNA
About the family: Transfer RNA (tRNA) molecules are approximately 80 nucleotides in length. Their secondary structure includes four short double-helical elements and three loops (D, anti-codon, and T loops). Further hydrogen bonds mediate the characteristic L-shaped molecular structure. tRNAs have two regions of fundamental functional importance: the anti-codon, which is responsible for specific mRNA codon recognition, and the 3' end, to which the tRNAs corresponding amino acid is attached (by aminoacyl-tRNA synthetases). tRNAs cope with the degeneracy of the genetic code in two manners: having more than one tRNA (with a specific anti-codon) for a particular amino acid; and 'wobble' base-pairing, i.e. permitting non-standard base-pairing at the 3rd anti-codon position.
Source: Rfam
UCGGGUAUGGUGUAGCGGUAACAUCGUUGACUCUCACUUUCUCACAGAAAGUGUCUGCCUUCUCAACAGCCCCGGGUUCGACUCCCGGUAUCCGAG